This 259-nucleotide ribosomal RNA is filed under the name uncultured bacterium. RNAcentral describes it as "partial 16S ribosomal RNA". It matches the Rfam family "Bacterial small subunit ribosomal RNA", at positions 1242 to 1500 of the family's 1533-position model. The record is from RNAcentral.
AAGGGAAGCGACCCCGCGAGGGUGAGCAAAUCUCAAAAAUAACGUCUCAGUUCGGAUUGUAGUCUGCAACUCGACUACAUGAAGCUGGAAUCGCUAGUAAUCGCGAAUCAGAAUGUCGCGGUGAAUACGUUCCCGGGUCUUGUACACACCGCCCGUCACACCAUGGGAGUCGGAUAUGCCCGAAGUCAGUGACCCAACCAUAUGGAGGGAGCUGCCGAAGGUGGGGCCGAUAACUGGGGUGAAGUCGUAACAAGGUAGC